GACCACCAGUGGCGAAAGCGUCAGACUGGAACGCGCCUGACGGUGAGGGACGAAAGCCAGGGGAGCGAACCGGAUUAGAUACCCGGGUAGUCCUGGCCGUAAACGAUGCAUACUAGGCAAUGGUGCGGCCAUGAGCCGCAUCAGUACCGUAGGGAAACCGUUAAGUGUGCCGCCUGGGAAGUACGGUCGCAAGGCUAAAACUUAAAGGAAUUGGCGGGGGAGCACCACAAGGGGUGAAGCCUGCGGUUCAAUUGGACUCAACGCCGGGAAACUUACCAGGGGAGACAGCAGAAUGACAGUCAGGUUGACGACCUUACUCGACGAGCUGAGAGGAGGUGCAUGGCCGUCGCCAGUUCGUGCUGUGAGGUAUCCUGUUAAGUCAGGCAACGAACGAGAUCCGCGCCUUUAUUUGCCAUCAAGAAGUCACGACUUCGUUGGGAACUCUAAAGGGACCGCCGUCGAUAAGACGGAGGAAGGAGCGGGCAAAGGCAGGUCAGUAUGCCCCGAAACCCCUGGGCUACACGCGGGCUGCAAUGGUGCGAACAAUGGGCUGUAACUCCGAAAGGAGAAACCAAUCCCGAAAUCGCAUCUCAGUGGGGAUUGUCGACUGUAACUCGUUGACAUGAACGUGGAAUCCCUAGUAAUCGCGUGUCACCAUCGCGCGGUUGAAUACGUCUCUG
Molecule: ribosomal RNA, 680 nt
Filed under: uncultured crenarchaeote
Lineage: Archaea; Thermoproteati; Thermoproteota
Description: bacterial SSU rRNA
Rfam family: Archaeal small subunit ribosomal RNA
Source: RNAcentral